This 496-nucleotide ribosomal RNA is filed under the name uncultured bacterium. RNAcentral describes it as "partial 16S ribosomal RNA". It matches the Rfam family "Bacterial small subunit ribosomal RNA", at positions 29 to 507 of the family's 1533-position model. The record is from RNAcentral.
AUGAACGCUGGCGGCGUGCCUAAUACAUGCAAGUCGAGCGAACAGACGAGGAGCUUGCUCCUCUGACGUUAGCGGCGGACGGGUGAGUAACACGUGGAUAACCUACCUAUAAGACUGGGAUAACUUCGGGAAACCGGAGCUAAUACCGGAUAAUAUAUUGAACCGCAUGGUUCAAUAGUGAAAGACGGUUUUGCUGUCACUUAUAGAUGGAUCCGCGCCGCAUUAGCUAGUUGGUAAGGUAACGGCUUACCAAGGCAACGAUGCGUAGCCGACCUGAGAGGGUGAUCGGCCAAACUGGAACUGAGACACGGUCCAGACUCCUACGGGAGGCAGCAGUAGGGAAUCUUCCGCAAUGGGCGAAAGCCUGACGGAGCAACGCCGCGUGAGUGAUGAAGGUCCUCGGAUCGUAAAACUCUGUUAUUAGGGAAGAACAAAUGUGUAAGUAACUAUGCACGUCUUGACGGUACCUAAUCAGAAAGCCACGGCUAACUACGUG